RNAcentral lists this unclassified non-coding RNA (187 nucleotides) under uncultured fungus. Its description in RNAcentral is "sequence contains ITS1, 5.8S rRNA gene". The record is from RNAcentral. Lineage: Eukaryota; Fungi.
CCAAAUCUACGGCCGAAAGGCCUUGCCCUAGGUGGGGAAACCCACCGACGGUAAACCCUUUGUGAAAACCCUCUUGUUUGCCUCGGCGGCACACGCCCUCACGGGUGUGGUCAGCCCGCCGACGGCACCCAACCAAAACUCUUUUUGAAUUGAAGAAUUUGUCUGAAUCAAUGGUCGAAUGACUAUA